Long non-coding RNA from Capsicum annuum, 393 nucleotides. RefSeq lists it as uncharacterized. Lineage: Eukaryota; Viridiplantae; Streptophyta; Magnoliopsida; Solanales; Solanaceae. The transcript has 3 exons. The record is from RefSeq and is a predicted model, not a curated record.
AUGAACGUGAAAAUAGACUCACUCCGCCUCAUAUGGAUGCUACAUCAAGGGUCUCUGGCCAGACACUAAAUUCUCAAAGAGCUGGCGGUGGACGAAGAAGAGGACGCCCACCUACGAGGCCUAGAGGAAGACCACGGCUCUCCAGAACCCAAGGCAGGUAACCUGAUAAUGAUGGAAGUUCAGGAACAGCAGAUGGCAGUUCGCAGGCUUAGAGCUCCUCCCUAAUAGAUCAGACACAGAUUCAGAAGCUUGAACCACAUAUGGGGAUCCCAUUCUCUAAAGUCAUUUCCAAACAAUAUUGUCUUCUCUGAUACUUGAUUUCAUUUUGCAACAUUCGCCCAUUGAUUUUACAUUGCAACAUUCGCACAUUGUGCAAAAACAACCGACUGAAUC